This 509-nucleotide ribosomal RNA is filed under the name uncultured bacterium. RNAcentral's name for it is "partial 16S ribosomal RNA". It matches the Rfam family "Bacterial small subunit ribosomal RNA", at positions 28 to 523 of the family's 1533-position model. The record is from RNAcentral.
GACGAACGCUGGCGGUGUGCUUAACACAUGCAAGUGGUGCGACGAACCAGAGCUUGCUCUGGGGCCAAGCCGCGAACGGGUGAGUAACACGUGGGUAAUCUGCCCCGAUGACCGGGACAACCCGAGGAAACUCGGGCUAAUACCGGAUGUGGCAUGUCGGCUCAAGCCGACCUGUCAAAGGUAGCUUCGGCUUCCGCAUUGGGAGGGGGCCGCGGCCCAUUAGCUUGUUGGUGGGGUCAAGGCCUACCAAGGCAACGAUGGGUAGCUGGUCUGAGAGGACGAUCAGCCACACUGGGACUGAGACACGGCCCAGACUCCUACGGGAGGCAGCAGUGGGGAAUCUUGCGCAAUGCGCGAAAGCGUGACGCAGCAACACCGCGUGAGGGAAGACGGCCUUAGGGUUGUAAACCUCUUUCAGUUGGGACGAAGGUUCAACGGUGAAUAGCCGAUUGGACUGACGGUACCUUCAGAAGAAGCUCCGGCUAACUACGUGCCAGCAGCCGCUGUAA